This is a long non-coding RNA of Oncorhynchus tshawytscha (Chinook salmon), 6083 nucleotides long. Lineage: Eukaryota; Metazoa; Chordata; Actinopteri; Salmoniformes; Salmonidae. The record is from Ensembl.
GUGACUGACAGUACAGUGACAGUACAAUACGGUGACAGUACAGUACAGUGACAGUACAGUGACAGUGACAGUACAAUACGGUGAAAGUACAGUACAGUGACAGUACAGUGCAGUGACAGUACAGUGCAGUGACAGUACAGUGCAGUGACAGUAACAGUACAGUGACAGUACAAUACAGUGACAGUACAGUACAGUGACAGUACAGUACAGUGACAGUACAGUGACAGUGACAGUACAAUACGGUGACAGUACAGUGACAGUACAGUGACAGUACAGUGACAGUACAAUACAGUGACAGUACAAUACAGUGACAGUACAGUACAGUGACAGUACAGUGACGGUACAGUGACAGUACAGUACAGUACAGUGACAGUACAGUACAGUACAGUACAUUACAGUGACAGUACAGUGACAGUACAGUGGCAGUACAGUACAGUGACAGUACAGUACAGUGACAGUACAGUGACAGUACAGUACAGUGACAGUGACAGUACAGUGACAGUACAGUACAGUACAGUACAGUACAGUACAGUGACAGUACAGUACAGUGACAGUACAGUACAGUGACAGUACAGUACAGUACAGUGACAGUACAGUACAGUACAGUACAGUACAGUGACAGUACAGUACAGUGACAGUACAGUGCAGUGACAGUACAGUACAGUGACAUUACAGUACAGUGACAUUACAGUACAGUGACAGUACAGUACAGUGCAGUGACAGUACAGUGACAGUACAGUGACAGUACAGUGCAGUGACAGUACAGUACAGUACAGUGACGGUAAAAUACGGUGACAGUACAGUACAGUAACAGUACAGUGACAGUACAGUACAGUGACAGUACAGUGACAGUACAGUGACAGUACAGUACAGUGACAGUACAGUACAUUACAGUGACAGCACAGUGACAGCACAGUGACAGCACAGUGACAGAACAGUGACCGUACAGUACAGUGACAGUACAGUACAGUGACAGUACAUUACAGUGACAGGACAGUGACAGUACAGUACAGUGGCAGUACAGUACAGUGACAUGACAGUACAGUACAGUACAGUACAGUACAGUGACUGUGACAGUACAGUGACAGUGACAGUGACAGUACAGUACAGUGACAGUGACAGUAGAGUGACAGUACAGUACAGUGACAGUACAGUACAGUGACGGUACCAUAGUGACAGUACAGUACAUACAGUACAGUGACAGUGACAGUGAUAGUACAGUGACAGGACAGUACAGUACAGUGACAGUACAGUACAGUGACAGUACAGUACAGUGACAGUACCGUAGUGACAGUACAGUGACAGUGACAGUACAGCACAGUACUGUACAGUGACAGUACAGUGACAUUGCAGUACAGUGACAGUACAGUACAGUGACAGUACAGUGACAGUACAUUACAGUGACAGUACAGUGACAGUACAGUGACAGUACAGUACAGUACAGUGACAUGACAGUACAGUACAGUGUCAGUGACAGUACAGUGACAGUACAGUACAGUGACAGUGACAGUGACAGUACAGUACAGUGACAGUACAGUACAGUGACAGUACAGUGACAGUACAGUACAGUGACAGUACAGUACAGUCACAGUACAGUGACAGUACAGUGACAGUAAAGUACAGUACAGUGACAGUUGACCUGGAUGGUAUUGUGUAUAUUACACAUCUUGUCACUACCGACCGACUGACCGGCCACUGGAUAUUGUUUUCUAGUAACAGAAUAGAGACUGAGAAGAAAACACUUCCCGCACACCACCUCCUUUCAAUGUGGAUAUUUGGUUCAUAUUUGGUUUAGACAUUGAUCAAGUGAGAUUACAACCUAUAUUCACCCACUGAAAAAGACUGCCAAUAGUUAGUUGAAUGUCAAAUGUGUUGUCACUGUGCUUUCAACCAUUUUAAAGCACAGCAAAGUUCAAAUGGGAACACAAUGUCAGAUAUUUUAAUUAUUUAUACAACCAAUUCAUGUGUAAUUACUUAUCACUGUGCUUCAUCUAACUACAUUACAAGUACAUGUGCAAGUGAUUAAUACGGAUUGAGAUUCUACCAGAUUAUUACAACUGUGAAGAUCUGCACAGACCUGCGACCAUCUAUACAUGCUAUCUUGAUCACGCACGCUUUAUAUGAUUACAUAACAAGAAACAUAUAGAUACAGUCAAAUUUAAAUGUGGCCAUUGGAUGUGUUACUAAUUUUAAGGUUAAAUGUUACAUUAGUUUGUCAGAUAGCCUUAUCUUAAGACUUUUUACUGUCUUACAAAAAUAAUAUUGAAUUGUGUUCUGUUGACCAAGCAAUCAAAUAUCAACAUUUAUAGGAGAUGUAUCUACUGUUUGGAUAGCUCCGUCUGACCCACUGGCUUCAUCUUUAACUGGUAUUUUUGGUUGAGUUGGUGACAUGAAUCCAAUAUAUAAUUUGUAACUUGUCGACAAAUUAACAGGCUAUUUGUUGUAUUCAGGAAAUGAUGUUUAAUUGUGUUUGGUUGUCAACACAACCAUAUUUCAACAUCUUCUGCUUGAAUAGUUCCAUCUGUGCCACUGAGACUGUGUUGAAUCGGAUCAGCUUGUGGAAAGAAAUGUGCUGUGAAAAGUUCUGAUGUGAUUGGUCAAAAAAACUAUUAGUGAAAGACAGAUCAGAAUUGGGAUGCCUGUGUAAAUGCAAUACAAUUAGUGAAAGACAGAUCAGAAUUGGGAUGCCUGUGUAAAUGCAGCGUGUCUUAGUCUGUCUUUAGUUCCAGUUUGUAUAUAAAUGAAUAACGUCUCCACCUCACACCAUAAAUCAAAGUUUAAAGAAUAUUAGUGAAUCAAACUUGAAAUGCACUUUUAAUAACGUUUGAUUUGAUGUAGUCCGAGUCUUUAACUUAGAUUUUUGGUUGAGAUGGAGAAGUGAAUCCAACAUAUCUAUAACGGUUUUCUUGUGUCGAAGGAGAGGCGGACCAAAAAGCAGCGUGGUUAUUAUUCAUGGUUCUUUAAUAAAGAAACUAUACAUGAAUAGACUAACAAAACAAGAAAUGUGGGAAAAAACCAAAACAACCCUAUCUGGUGCAAACACAGAGACAGGAACAAUCACCCACAAACCCCAACACCAAACAGGCUACCUAAAAUAUGGUUCCCAGUCAGAGACAAUGACUAACACCUGCCUCUGAUUGAGAACCAUAUCAGGCCAAACACAGAAACAGACAAACUAGACACACAACAUAGAAUGCCCACUCAGAUCACACCCUGACCAAACAAAACAUAGAAAUAUACAAAGCAAACUAUGGUCAGGGUGUGACAAUAUCAAUCACCAAUUUGUAGACAAACUGGAAUUAAAGCCAGACUACUAAAUCAGUGGCUCAGAUGGAACUCUCCAAAUAGAAGAUACAGUUCCUUCUAAUGUUCAUGGUCACGUUGACAACUCAAUGUCAUUACAUUUGAAAUCAACCAGAGCCUGAAACCCUGGGCCUGUAGUAUAUCCAUUUUUAGUUGAAUUAUGGGUUUCAUUGAAACAAUAGUUGUUGAUGACGUUGUAAAUGCUAUAUAGGCCUUAGUAGUAUAAUUGAUGGUAUAUUCGUGAUAUAGUAUGGUCACAUUUCAACUUUUCUGUCAAACCUUACCCUUUGGAAUGACUUUUCCACCAACACUGAAUCUAUUUGGUUUUUAAUUGGAGAUGUCUGAGCAGUUUUUCUCACGAUAGCACAUUGGCAAUAGUCAGUCACAAAUAUUGUAGCUAAUCAGGGCUGGGUAUGGCUAAAUCCCUGGAUGGGAGACCAAACAGUAGCUGUAGGUUGAUCAACUAUCCAGUAGGAGGUGCUGCCCAGCCUGUUACUUUUUUCUGAUAUUGAAUAUAACAUUGAAGAUCUGAUGUUGUUUUAAAGGAACAAAUUCAACAUGUUUUAUACAAGGUUUUUCUAUGUUGAAAUUUGGUUACCUGAUGAUAUAAUUCUGUGGUUGAAAUUUCACCCUCAAAACAACAGUAAUAUUGAUACUGUAUUUUCCACAUAGAUUCCAAGUCACAAUAAGUUGACAAAUUACAUCGAAACGGUGAUUCAACCAGUUUGUGCCCAGUAGGUUUGAAACAAUGUCAAUCAAUGAUCACUGUCCUGUCUCCCCUUUCCAACCAACAUCUGUUCUAACAGCCAGAGGGAUGUGGGUCUGUUCUAACAGCCAGAUGGAUGUGGGUCUAACAGCCAGAGGGAUGUGAGUCUGUUCUAACAGCCAGAGGGAUGUGAGUCUGUUCUAACAGCCAGAGGGAUGUGGGUCUGUUCUAACAGCCAGAGGGAUGUGGGUCUGUUCUAACAGCCAGAGGGAUGUGGGUCUAACAGCCAGAGGGAUGUGGGUCUAACAGCCAGAGGGAUGUGAGUCUGUUCUAACAGCCAGAGGGAUGUGGGUCUGUUCUAACAGCCAGAGGGAUGUGAGUCUGUUCUAACGGCCAGAGAGAUGUGGGUCUAAUGGCCAGAGGGAUGUGGGUCUGUUCUAACAGCCAGAGGGAUGUGGGUCUGUUCUAACAGCCAGAGGGAUGUGGGUCUGUUCUAACAGCCAGAGGGAUGUGGGUCUGUUCUAACAGCCAGAGGGAUGUGGGUAUUUUCUAACAGCCAGAGGGAUGUGGGUCUAACAGCCAGGGGAUGUGAGUCUGUUCUAACAGCCAGAGGGAUGUGGGUCUAACAACCAGAGGGAUGUGGGUCUGUUCUAACAGCCAGAGGGAUGUGGGUCUGUUCUAACAGCCAGAGGGAUGUGGGUCUGUUCUAACAGCCAGAGGGAUGUUGGUCUGUUCUAACAGCCAGAGGGAUGUGAGUCUGUUCUAACAGCCAGAGGGAUGUGAGUCUGUUCUAACAGCCAGAGGGAUGUGAGUCUGUUCUAACAGCCAGAGGGAUGUGGGUCUGUUCUAACAGCCAGAGGGAUGUGGGUCUUUUCUAGCAGCCAGAGGGAUGUGGGUCUGUUCUAACAGCCAGAGGGAUGUGGGUCUAACAGCCAGAGGGAUGUGGGUCUGUUCUAACAGCCAGAGGGAUGUGGGUCUAACAACCAGAGGGAUGUGGGUCUGUUCUAACAGCCAGAGGGAUGUGGGUCUGUUCUAACAGCCAGAGGGAUGUGGGUCUAACAGCCAGAGGGAUGUGGGUCUGUUCUAACAGCCAGAGGGAUGUGGGUCUGUUCUAACAGCCAGAGGGAUGUGAGUCUGUUCUAACAGCCAGAGGGAUGUGAGUCUGUUCUAACAGCCAGAGGGAUGUGGGUCUGUUCUAACAGCCAGAGGGAUGUGGGUCUGUUCUAACAGCCAGAGGGAUGUGGGUCUGUUCUAACAGCCAGAGGGAUGUGAGUCUGUUCUAACAGCCAGAGGGAUGUGGGUCUAACAGCCAGAGGGAUGUGGGUCUAACAGCCAGAGGGAUGUGGGUCUGUUCUAACAGCCAGAGGGAUGUGGGUCUAACAGCCAGAGGGAUGUGGGUCUGUUCUAACAGCCAGAGGGAUGUGGGUCUAACAGCCAGAGGGAUGUGGGUCUAACAGCCAGAGGGAUGUGGGUCUGUUCUAACAGCCAGAGGGAUGUGAGUCUAACAGCCAGAGGGAUGCGAGUCUAACAACCAGAGGGAUGUGAGUCUAACAACCAGAGGGAUGUGGGUCUGUUCUAACAGCCAGAGGGAUGUGGGUCUGUUCUAACAGCCAGAGGGAUGUGGGUCUGUUCUAACAGCCAGAGGGAUGUUGGUCUGUUCUAACAGCCAGAGGGAUGUGAGUCUGUUCUAACAGCCAGAGGGAUGUGGGUCUGUUCUAACAGCCAGAGGGAUGUGAGUCUGUUCUAACAGCCAGAGGGAUGUGAGUCUGUUCUAACAGCCAGAGGGAUGUGGGUCUGUUCUAACAGCCAGAGGGAUGUGGGUCUUUUCUAGCAGCCAGAGGGAUGUGGGUCUGUUCUAACAGCCAGAGGGAUGUGGGUCUAACAGCCAGAGGGAUGUGGGUCUGUUCUAACAGCCAGAGGGAUGUGGGUCUAACAACCAGAGGGAUGUGGGUCUGUUCUAACAGCCAGAGGGAUGUGGGUCUGUUCUAACAGCCAGAGGGAUGUGGGUCUGUUCUAACAGCCAGAGGGAUGUGAGUCUGUUCUAACAGCCAGAGGGAUGUGAGUCUGUUCUAAC